AUGAACAUGAUAUCAACAUCAUCAUGAGAGCAUCACAUAACUUUCCACCAUAUCAACAGUAAAUCAUAUCCACUGAGCAUCACAUACCGACUAGCAUGACCAUCUCCAACAUCAACAUGAACUACUAACAAGCAUAAACAUAUGAAAGGUAAUACUAGCAGGUAUAACAUGAUCCCAGGGUAUAAGACAACAUAGCAAAAAUGUGAACAUGCAAAUCUGAACAUCACUGAAACAAUGAUAACCAACUUUUCAACAAGCAAACAUUUAUUAAAUAUUCAAGUUGAAAACCAUGGCUACUGCAUGACUAUCAUGCAAGUGGGUAUUGUGGCUUGCCUGGGGAUGAAGAAGGCACCAAGAAGAAGUGCGGUGAAGCCGCGAAAAAUGGUCAUUUUCAGUAUGCCAAAACAUAAUGAAAGUGACACCAACAGAAAGGGCUCGACAGAACAAAGAAGUGAGCGUUGGAUUCACCUCAAACGGAGUUACGGUUAAAAAGUUAUAAGAGUUUUACUCUCAGGGACCUCUGUGUAAACAUUUAUUUUAUAGACUGGGCCAAAACAGAAAACUGGAAAGCGUAUUCGGCGGUUUACGUCUCCACUUAUCUAGCGUGGCAAUGGCGGGGCCGGCUCCUAUGUGGCUGACAGGUGGGUCCCACCUUAUCCACUCUUCUCUCUCCUCUCUUCUCUUAUUCACCUCUCCCUCUUUCGACGCCGUACGCAGAACAGAGGAGAGGCCGCCGGCGCCGGCGCUUGCUCCGACCACUCGGGCCACCUCCGGCGGAGAUUGAACCACCGGCGUGCUCGGGAUGACGAGGCGCACAAGUCCCACCACCACACGAACGUCAGGGAGACGCGGGCAGGGCAGGAACGUGCCCGCGGUGGACGGGGCUUCGGCUGGGAUCGGGCACGGCACUGGAGGGGCUCCGACGAUGGGGAAAAGGGCAGGGAGACUCGCCGAAGUGUGGGGAAGGCGAUGGUGGUGGCUAGAGGAGGAGGGGGGCUCGGGCUCGACCAAAUCGAGUGAGGGCAGAGACAACGGCCAUGGCAGCGAUGGGGGGCAGGAGAGCUCCUGGAGCUCGGGCAAGGGGCUGGGGAGAUCUAGUGGAGGAGGGGGAGGCUGCUGGAGUGCUCGGACGGCCUCGAGGGUGACCAUUUAUAGGCGGGGCAGGGGAGAUGGUCUCGGGUGCCGCCGUGCACGUCCGGCCGAGGCUCUGGCGACAGCCAGUGAGCACGGGGGGACACGGGGAAGGCGACAAAGGGGGUGCAGACGAACUGCAGAGGUCACGGAGACGAGCAGCUCUAGAGGACAUGAGGAGGAAGAAGUCGAGCGCCAUUAAGGCUCGGUCGGCCACAGUGCGCUCGUGGGCACGCGGCGACGACAGCUGACGAAGGGGCUGACGGAGGGGCAGAAGGCUCCAGGAGGACAGCGAUGAUGCGGUAAAACGGUGAGACAUGCUCAAGAGCGCAAAGACGCGUAGAGGGAGAGGGGACCGAGCACAAACGACGUUAUGGCCGUGCACACUACAUGCCAAAAUGGUGGUCACCGCGUGCACUGGUGCUCACAGUGGCACAUGGCCGGCAAAACUAUGUCUGGGGGCUUGUCCUUCCUGGGGUGGUUGCAGCUGUGGUGGUAGUUUGGUUAAAAGUGACAUGGUUAAAUGGUAGUUAACACCUGAAGUUUACUGCAGUAAACUUGAUCGUGUACUGCUGCUCAACAGGGAUGUGAUUGGGUCAAAUGGAGUUGUCUGGGAGGUUGAGGUGAAGAAGGACUUUCAUCCUGGAGGUUGGGAGGGUAAAUGGAUAAAGAUUUAAUGUAGUUUCUUAACAACCACAUAAUCUGGUCAGAAAUGAAGAUCAUGAUGGUGCACUCACAAGGAGUGUCACCUAGGGAUUAUAUUGGGCAAGGCUUAGUCAUUAGGUGAUAUGAAGAUGCUCACAAAGUAUCAUACCAUUUGGCAAAGCCAAAAUGGUACUUGCUUCACAAACAUCUCCUCUGGACAGAAACUUGAAAUAAUUAUGGUGGUCAAAUGGAUCAAUCAAAUGAUGCCAAAAUGGGUGGAGGAAUGUUUUAUGGGUAGAAGAAUGAUCUGGUAAUUUAUCAGGAUUUGUGAAGCAAUAUAAAAUAUACUUGCUUCACAACCUGAAAAUAAUGCCAGAAUCAAAGAUUUGCUCCUAUGCUCACAUAGAUGAUUGGAUAGGGCUGCAAAUGGGUGGAAGGGAUUAAUAUGAGCACAUUAAGGAGUUUGCAAAAGCUAAACUUAUUUGGAUACUCCUAGCUAGUACUUCCUUCACAAAGCCUUCUGUUUGACAGAAACUUUAAAAAUUCACUUAGGAAGAUUGGCUAGGCAAAUAAAUUUGAACUUGUGCAUGGGGCAAUUAUUUGGACAUAUAAACAUGCCCAAGAAGGUUGGGAGUCAAAAGGAGAAAUAUAAAUGACACUUCCUUCACAAAGUGCCAUUCAGGGCAGAAUAGGAAAUGAAUUAUUGGAGGAUUAUUUUUGAACAUGGCAAUGAAAAGUUUUGCCAUAUUUGAUCAAGAUAUGACCCCAAAAAUUUAUGAGAAUUAUUUGGGAAUUUUAGGAGUGAUGGAAAUAUAGGUUGCUUCACAACCUAGGGCAAUAGGAGUUAUUCCUUUGAUAGAAAAGGAAUAUUCCAAUAAAAAGAAUAUUGGGAUUAGGGCUAGGAUGGAAAUAAUAGGGUCUAGGGAAAGAUUUGGGAAUGGCAAGCCACUUUGGAAGCAAAUAAGAGGUCAUCUUCUUUAGUUUCCAGACCACAAAGCCACGGAAAAAGAAAACUCAGGCAAAAACCUCGGAAAAACAAAAGAAAAAGAAAGGGCCAAAAAUCAGGCUGUGACAAACCUUAACCCCUUAAAGAAAUCUCGUCCUCGAGAUUUGUUUGCUCAGGGAACAAUAUGAAUAUUCUGACUCAAGGAAACCGUUUCCAACUCGGGUAUCCUUUUUCCUUUAUUGUUGUUCCCAUUAAAUUUUUAUCUGACUGGCCCUGGGGUGGUUUGAUUUACUAUAUCCACAUUCUGACAGAUCUUGCCUGGCUUGAUCAUGCUUAUAUAGGCUCCAAUUUCUUUUUUAGAUCUGCUGACUAGAUGUGUGUGAUUUAAUUAUCAUGACUGAAAUAUAUGUCCGUCUCACAAUCCAAAAGUGAUUUCCGCUGGGUGUGCCGUCCAGCACUGACAACCUUUCAUGUAACGAUGAUCGUAAUUUUUUGAUGAAAAUUCAAGCUCUGACACAUUGCAUUGGGUUUCUCCACUAAAUGCAGGACCUUUGGGUUCCAAAUAGUGAGUUAAUACAUUUCCUGACAGAUUGUGACUCAUCGCGGAAGUUUCUGAAUUAUUCUGACUGACUUCACUAUCUUGAGUAUCGGAUCCUUACCAAAUAUUUGAUUAUCUCUUGUCACGGCCAACAUAAAUGGUUUGGCCGGUAUGAUAAUAUCUGCAAACUUGACGGAAAAUUUUUGUUAACGACUGGCUAUCCAUGAUGAUUCAUAUAAGUGAGGACUCAGGCUUCCAGACUGUUAUUCCUCAUGCCGAUUACUCAUGUUGUAGGCAUAUCCAUGUGGAUCAAUACUGACUUAGACUGUCCGGGGGAUCUGCACCAUGGGGGUCGUGUACAAUUUUCAUACCUGCAUCACUGGUCUUGCUCCUUCAUUAUUGUUUUCUUAGUCUGGAUCUUGGCUGAAAGAGCUGGGCCAUAUUGCUUCUUUGUAUGACCAUAGGUACUGUCGGUGCAAUUUUUCGGCAAUUGUAGCUUAUCCUCAUUUUUCUGAUAGGGUAACCCAUUAAAUUGCAGGUUCAACACCUCUCAAGUUCUGAUCGUUGGGAAAUGAUCAUCCGAAACCCUUGCAAGAAAUCGGCAAAUAAAUCAGUAGCCACCAGAACGGUCUUUACAACUCAGAUCUGGGACAUUAUUGAAAUAACUCAACCACGGCUCAAGACGGCCGAAAAACAGCUCAGAGCAUGAGACCGGGUCGAUAAGAAGAAGGUGGCAGCUCCCUAAAAUAGCCAAAAAGCAGCUAUAGGGCUACUGUCACAAAAGAAACUCAACAGCUGUACGAGACGGCCGAAAAGCAGCUCAGACUCGUGACAGUCGUUGAAGAGAGAAACAAAAAUAGGCAUCCACCCCGGAUAGCUAGAAACAGCUCAGAUCACAGGCGUGGUGCCGUCAUUGGAGAAAAAGAGAACAAGGGCUCAUCAGGAUCAUUUUCCAGUUCACAAGUAUUUGUAUGGAGCUUAUUGAUGUCGUCAAUCCUCGUAAUCCUUUGUCACAUUGCGGUGUAUAUUAGCUUUCUUCUAUUAACCAUUCUCACGUGGUUGUCAGAUCCUCAUCCGAGUGACUUGUAAGAUCUUGAUGGUAUGCUCAUUGCAUAUAUAUGAGGACCUGAUUCCGAGACAGACGUGUAUUCUGAUUGAUUCUUGAUUCUGACCAAAAUGUUGCGGAUCUGAUUUUUGGGAUUCACUGCCAUAUGUUGUCAAUUCACAGCGUACUACCUUGUACCAAUGCCUUACUGAGGAAUAUUUGCUGGCUUGUGCUCGAAACUUUCAUCGGACAGCUUGCUGAAGAAGACUGGGUAUCGUGCUUCGGAAGCUUACCCCCUUAAAGACUUUGCUGGGGAAAGACUCAAUACCUUAUGCUGGUAGCUUUUGCGGUUGCUUACCGAAGAAGGUAGAGCACCUUGUACAGAAAAUCAUCCACAUAUCAUACUGAGGAAGAUAGAUGAAUCUUGCCUUGGAAACUUCUCUCGUAUCUGUGAGGGAAAGGUGGGUUCCUUACACUAGGAACUUCUUAUUGUGAUAUGCAGACCGAUUUCAACAUAUACAUAUCAUCUUAAUAUUUCUGAUGUUGAUUUCUUGCAUGAAACGGGGUUUUACUGGACUAUCCUCCUUUCUGAGUAUAUGCCAUAUUUUUGCUUGCUUCCAGGUACAUCGUGUUCCAAAAUCAUCCUCAACGAAAAAUUAAACUUGUAUCUGAGCCAUACCUUUGAUAAUAUUCUGUCAACCUUGCACACAAUUUAUCUUCUUGCUGAUUUAAUCAUUUUGUUAUGAUGAGUGCUCGCUAAUGCAAAAUGAUACUGACGGUCCAUCCAGGAUUUCUUUUGCAUCCAGACAAGAUAUUCCAAUUUUCAUUGCAGUCAGCUGAUAAUUCCAUUCUGUUUAACUGAGUUUCCAAAUAUAUACAUUUCUUGCUGACUCUUCGGGUCCGGUGUCGGCUGACGAGUAACUGCAAUAGGGAAAAAAUUUGUAACACCAAAGGCCCAAAGAAAAGAACAACAGAAACGACUAAAACAAAAGCACACAAGCACACUACUAAUAUAAUUAAUCAAGCAAUCAUCACAUAUUACUGCUAGUCACACAAUAAUAUGCAUGCACACCUAAGCACACAAAUGUCGGGGAAACUCCGGUAUUGCGGUCUAAUAUGUUGUGAUGAUGUGCACGAGGACGAAUAAAUGUGUGGAAGAAUUGAUGUAAACAGCAGUACACCAAGUGCUAGCUUAGCCAGGUGGCAACCUGAACUAGCUCGGAGGCGAGGACGUACUUGGUAAUCAUGCAGUAGGACACGAAGGUCACAACUACAUUAUUAUCCAGCAGACAGAAAAAGAUCCGUACUCGUCCAAGAAAUAGGAUAGCGGGGAAAAAAACUGAGGCUGCUGACAUUGCCCUUUCUUGAUAAUUAAGAUCAUUAAGGGUUGCCAACAUGAGAAAAUAAAAGAACGAUUCGGGAUAGACGCAUGUCCAUCACUGAAAUGAUAGGCGGGACUGAAGGAAAGACAUCGGUGCGAUACCUGAGCACCAUUUUGCAAACAGUGUCGGGAUCACUUGGCAUCACUCUGCUGGGACAGAAGUAACACCAAACACCGAAAGAAAAGGAACUGGGGAAAUGCAAAGGUUGAGCUGUAGUGGAUCCGAACCGAUGCCAGCUACACUCACCACACAAACCAUUAGUGCAAAUACUAAGGCUAUAUGCAUGCUAUGCGAUAAACAAGUGCAGCAAUCAAAUGCAACACACCAACUGGGGUCUAUACUACCGCUUUCUAACGUUCAUGCGGUCUAGGGCGUCCGACAGCCAGGCCUGCUCUGAUACCAACCCCGGCUCAGAGAAAACCGGAACGCCCCGUAUUCCAGCCCAGAGAUCGAGGAGAAGUCUUCUGGAAUACGACACUGCUUAGCAUAGAAUAAACUAGCCUUCUAAUAUUACACCAAUAUGAUUACAAGGUCUCCGAUAUUACAAUGAAUAACAUCGGUACGGCGACACUACGCCAUCCUCAGUUGCUCUAUGCAAGCAGCAGAACAACUCGAAGCAGCGGAAUAACUCUAGCAGUGGAACAACGAAGACAGUGGUGAACUCAACUCUGCAGGGACUCUGGCUGGAAUGCUUAUCCUAACUCGCACGAACGGAAACCACGACAAGCAAGCAAUCAAAUCUGGGAUGACCUGCAAACUGGCAUGACACGCCAGGUCAGUACAUUGAAUGUACUUGCAAGCUCACAAUAAACCAGAAGCAUUCAAGACAAACAACAGCAUGGCAAUUAUAGGUUAAACAGGAAUUAACAUGAUAUCAUUAGAAUAACAUGGCAUGACCAACAUAAACAUGAUACAUCUAACACAACAUUAGCAUAUUAAUCCGACAAUACUAGCAUGCAACAUAAUGACACUAUAUGCACCACUUACUCUGCUCCGGCUACCUCGUAACCAACGCAUGCAUCACUUACCAACCUCGGACAUCACACGAUCAUCUCAGGAUCAAAUCAAGCUUGGUAUAAACAAUACCGUAGCGAUCAGUAAAUGAACACAAGGAGCUUGAUCUUUACCCACGAUUCUCGCACAACAUCACGAAUAUACAACAACUCGGUAUCCUCGAUACCCUCGUGAUCCUUACGGGGAUCACAACCACAACCAACACUAGUCUCAAACCGUGAUCCCUACGGCGAUCACAACCCGACAAAUACAUGGCCCGUGAUCCUUACGGCGAUCACAACCCGACCACUACAUGGCUCGUGAUCCUUACGGCAAUCACAACCCGACCAACACUUGGCCAACUUAUCUCACUGUUAUUAAGCACAUUAUUAUUAUUAUUAUUAUUAUUAUUAUUAUUAUUAUUAUUAUUAUUAUUAUUAUUAUUAUUAUUAUUAUUACUGUUGACUCAUGGUGUGACCUACUUUCGACCUGGGCCCUUAUCCGUGGGCACGGCUAUCGAUAGAUUAAUAUACACUCUGCAGAGGUUAGUACACUAUACCCACACUACGGAACCCAUGGCCUCGCACUCCCAUUCGUGUGGACCAACGGCGUUCCGACAAAACCGAUCUACUGCCAUGACACUCUCCCGGCCACUCCGACUCACUCCUCACUGAGCUAAGUCAUGGGUGGCCCCGUGCCUACCUCCAGACACAACGACCAUCGUCAUGGCCCGUCCCACACAGGGACACGGAUCCAAAAACUAACUCAACAAUGGGCCCACAAGGUUAUGCUUGCCUACCGGGCUAGGGUACAGCACGCCCAUAACCUUCCCUCGUUGGAGGCACCAGCGAGAGGCACGACAAUAGACCCAGUUAGGACCGUCCCAUACCGGUAAGCAUGGUUGCACUGGUGAGCAUCGAUUCAACGGCACCAUGACUCAGCCAACAGUUGUUCAAGUUCAAUUUAAUUUGGUUAACUUGAAUGCAAAUAAGCCGAGCCAUGAUAAAAUGCAUGAACAUGAUAUCAACAUCAUCAUGAGAGCAUCACAUAACUUUCCACCAUAUCAACAGUAAAUCAUAUCCACUGAGCAUCACAUACCGACUAGCAUGACCAUCUCCAACAUCAACAUGAACUACUAACACGCAUAAACAUAUGAAAGGUAAUACUAGCAGGUAUAACAUGAUCACAGGGUAUAAGACAACAUAGCACAAAAGUGAACAUGCAAAUCUGAACAUCACCGGAACAACGAUAACCAACUUUUCAACAAGCAAACAUUUAUUAAAUAUUCAAGUUGAAAACCAUGGCUACUGCAUGACUAUCAUGCAAGUGGGUAUUGUGGCUUGCCUGGGGAUGAAGAAGGCACCAGGAAGAAGUGC
RNAcentral lists this long non-coding RNA (8056 nucleotides) under Triticum aestivum (bread wheat). RNAcentral's name for it is "long non-coding RNA (TAES_LNC004384)". Lineage: Eukaryota; Viridiplantae; Streptophyta; Magnoliopsida; Poales; Poaceae. The record is from RNAcentral.